GUGAAUCCCUAAGAAUGUCAGGUGAUCCUUUCUCCAGUCAUAUGUGUGUUUACCUUGUAGUGUAGUCAGUUGUUCUGUGGUGAGAUUUAGGCCCAUGGCUUGUGUCUUGCUGAUAUUGAGUUUAUAGUAGGAGCAAGCACUAAAUCGUGUUAGUAGCAUUUGGAGUUGCUCUAAUGAGGUGUCCGGGUUAGACAGUGUGAGCAUAACAUCGUCAGCGAACAAGGUGAUUUUCUGUGUAUUCCCUCCCACUUUAAUGCCU
Molecule: non-coding RNA, 259 nt
Organism: Pelobates cultripes (western spadefoot toad)
Lineage: Eukaryota; Metazoa; Chordata; Amphibia; Anura; Pelobatidae
Source: the annotation of a GenBank genome assembly